Molecule: ribosomal RNA, 468 nt
Filed under: uncultured bacterium
Lineage: Bacteria
Description: partial 16S ribosomal RNA
Rfam family: Bacterial small subunit ribosomal RNA
Source: RNAcentral
GACGAACGCUGGCGGCGUGCUUAACACAUGCAAGUCGAACGGAAAGGCCCUGCUUUUGUGGGGUGCUCGAGUGGCGAACGGGUGAGUAACACGUGAGUAACCUGCCCUUGACUUUGGGAUAACUUCAGGAAACUGGGGCUAAUACCGGAGAGGAGCUCCUGCUGCAUGGUGGGGGUUGGAAAGUUUCGGCGGUUGGGGAUGGACUCGGGGCUUAUCAGCUUGUUGGUGGGGUAGUGGCUUACCAAGGCUUUGACGGGUAGCCGGCCUGAGAGGGGGACCGGCCACAUUGGGACUGAGAUACGGACCAGACUCCAACGGGAGGCAGCAGUGGGGAAUAUUGCACAGUGGGCGGAAGCCUGAUGCAGAAACGCCGCGUGCGGGAUGACGGCCUUCUGGUUGUAAACCGCUUUCGCCUGUGACGAAGCGUGAGUGACGGUAAUGGGUGAAGAAGCACCGGCUAACUACGUG